RNAcentral lists this ribosomal RNA (1372 nucleotides) under uncultured bacterium. RNAcentral describes it as "bacterial SSU rRNA". It matches the Rfam family "Bacterial small subunit ribosomal RNA", at positions 28 to 1381 of the family's 1533-position model. The record is from RNAcentral.
GAUGAACGCUGGCGGCGUGCCUAAUACAUGCAAGUCGAGCGAACGGACGAGAAGCUUGCUUCUCUGAUGUUAGCGGCGGACGGGUGAGUAACACGUGGAUAACCUACCUAUAAGACUGGGAUAACUUCGGGAAACCGGAGCUAAUACCGGAUAAUAUUUUGAACCGCAUGGUUCAAAAGUGAAAGACGGUCUUGCUGUCACUUAUAGAUGGAUCCGCGCUGCAUUAGCUAGUUGGUAAGGUAACGGCUUACCAAGGCAACGAUGCAUAGCCGACCUGAGAGGGUGAUCGGCCACACUGGAACUGAGACACGGUCCAGACUCCUACGGGAGGCAGCAGUAGGGAAUCUUCCGCAAUGGGCGAAAGCCUGACGGAGCAACGCCGCGUGAGUGAUGAAGGUCUUCGGAUCGUAAAACUCUGUUAUUAGGGAAGAACAUAUGUGUAAGUAACUGCGCACAUCUUGACGGUACCUAAUCAGAAAGCCACGGCUAACUACGUGCCAGCAGCCGCGGUAAUACGUAGGUGGCAAGCGUUAUCCGGAAUUAUUGGGCGUAAAGCGCGCGUAGGCGGUUUUUUAAGUCUGAUGUGAAAGCCCACGGCUCAACCGUGGAGGGUCAUUGGAAACUGGAAAACUUGAGUGCAGAAGAGGAAAGUGGAAUUCCAUGUGUAGCGGUGAAAUGCGCAGAGAUAUGGAGGAACACCAGUGGCGAAGGCGACUUUCUGGUCUGUAACUGACGCUGAUGUGCGAAAGCGUGGGGAUCAAACAGGAUUAGAUACCCUGGUAGUCCACGCCGUAAACGAUGAGUGCUAAGUGUUAGGGGGUUUCCGCCCCUUAGUGCUGCAGCUAACGCAUUAAGCACUCCGCCUGGGGAGUACGACCGCAAGGUUGAAACUCAAAGGAAUUGACGGGGACCCGCACAAGCGGUGGAGCAUGUGGUUUAAUUCGAAGCAACGCGAAGAACCUUACCAAAUCUUGACAUCCUUUGACAACUCUAGAGAUAGAGCCUUCCCCUUCGGGGGACAAAGUGACAGGUGGUGCAUGGUUGUCGUCAGCUCGUGUCGUGAGAUGUUGGGUUAAGUCCCGCAACGAGCGCAACCCUUAAGCUUAGUUGCCAUCAUUAAGUUGGGCACUCUAAGUUGACUGCCGGUGACAAACCGGAGGAAGGUGGGGAUGACGUCAAAUCAUCAUGCCCCUUAUGAUUUGGGCUACACACGUGCUACAAUGGACAAUACAAAGGGCAGCGAAACCGCGAGGUCAAGCAAAUCCCAUAAAGUUGUUCUCAGUUCGGAUUGUAGUCUGCAACUCGACUACAUGAAGCUGGAAUCGCUAGUAAUCGUAGAUCAGCAUGCUACGGUGAAUACGUUCCCGGGUCU